RNAcentral lists this long non-coding RNA (3600 nucleotides) under Salmo salar (Atlantic salmon). Its description in RNAcentral is "lncRNA (ENSSSAG00000111315.1)". The record is from RNAcentral. Lineage: Eukaryota; Metazoa; Chordata; Actinopteri; Salmoniformes; Salmonidae.
GGGCAGAGUGGAGGAGCGUUCAAAGUGUUUAAAGGUUUCUCCCUGGCCCCUACGUCUGGACCCGGGCCAGCUGCUGGGGGGGUCGCGACCUUCUCCGGGUUCGAUAGCGGGGUAGGGUUCAAACCCCUGUCUGGACUGUCCAAUGGGAACAGCGUCAAACCCGUCACUCCAGCCUUCACGGGGUUCACCUCGCCUACUGCCACCAAGACCACCGCCACACCAGAUGAAAACGGGGAGGAAUCGGACGAACCGCCCAAAGUGGAAGUCCAGGAGAUCAAGGAGACUGACGCCUUUUACUCCAAGAAGUGUAAACUCUUCUAUAAGAAGGAGACGGAGUUCAAGGAGAAAGGAGUCGGAACGCUGCAUCUGAAAACGACGUCGGACGGAAAGACACAGCUGUUAGUCCGCGCCGAUACCAACCUGGGUAACAUCCUGUUGAACAUCAUGGUCCAGCCUUCCAUACCCUGUUCCAGAAUGGGGAAGAACAACGUGAUGGUGAUUUGUGUUCCUAACCCUGUGGUGGACCACAACAACCCUACCAACCCUGUCGCCAUGCUCAUCAGGGUCAAAACAGCAGAGGAUGCUGACGAACUGCACAACAUACUGGAGGAGAAGAAAGCUUAGAUAACUAACCCCUGGUCCCUGGAGGGCGAUACAGGCUGACCCCACUCCACCCUUCUGCCUAUCAACUAACCCCUGGUCCCUGGAGGGGGAUACAGGCUGACCCCACUCCACCCUUCUGCCUAUCAACUAACCCCUAGGUCCAGUCCUGUACCCCUCCACCCCAGGUCCAGUCCUGUGCCCCUCCACCCCAGGUCCAGUCUUAUACCCCUAGCCCCUCCACCCCAGGUCCAGUCUUAUACCCCUAGCCCCUCCACCCCAGGUCCAGUCUUAUACCCCUAGCCCCUCCGCCCAAGGUCCAGUCUUGUGCCCCUCCGCCCAAGGUCCAGUCUUGUACCCCUAGCCCCUCCGCCCAAGGUCCAGUCUUGUACCCCUAGCCCCUCCGCCCAAGGUCCAGUCUUGUACCCCUCCGCCCCAGGUCCAGUCCUGUGCCCCUCCGCCCCAGGUCCGUCCUGUGCCCCUCCGCCCCAGGUCCAGUCCUGUGCCCCUCCGCCCCAGGUCCAGUCCUGUGCCCCUCCGCCCCAGGUCCAGUCCUGUGCCCCUCCGCCCCAGGUCCAGUCCUGUGCCCCUCCGCCCCAGGUCCAGUCCUGUGCCCCUCCGCCCCAGGUCCAGUCCUGUGCCCCUCCGCCCCAGGUCCAGUCCUGUGCCCCUCCGCCCCAGGUCCAGUCCUGUGCCCCUCCGCCCCAGGUCCAGUCCUGUGCCCCUCCGCCCCAGGCCCAGUCCUGUGCCGUGCCCCUCCGCCCCAGGGCAAGUCCUGUGCCGUGCCCAUCCGCCCCAGGGCAAGUCCUGUGCCGUGCCCCUCCACCCCACGUCCAGUCCUGUACCCCUAGCUCCUCCGCCCCAGGUCCAGUCCCGUGCCCCUCCGCCCCAGGUCCAGUCCCGUGCCCCUCCGCCCCAGGUCCAGUCCCGUGCCCCUCCGCCCCCUAUCUAGUGCACUACUUUAGACCAGGCCCCUAUUCCCUACCUAGUGCACUACCUUGACCAGCUAGAUGGUCUGAACUAGUGAACUAGAAAGGGAAUAGGAGGCCAUUUUGUCAUGUGAUGCCAGAGGGGUCGUCUACAACGAAUUUUAUCUUCACACACCUGGACUAGACACACCUGGACUAGACACACCUGGACUAGACACACUGACACACCUGGACUAGACACACCUGGACUAGACAUGCUGUAACAGAGACACACCUGGACUAGACAUACCUGGACUAGACACACCUGGACUAGACAUGCUGUAACAGAGACACACCUGGACUAGACACACCAACAGAGACACACCUGGACUAGACACACCGACACACCUGGACUAGACACGUGACCGUUGAAAUGAAAUGUUUUAUUUUUGCAUGCGUUGUGUAGCAACACAUUUUUAGUUAUAAAACAUGGUUCAUUUGUGAUUUUAUUUUUUAUUACUGUGAAAGUUCAACGGGCUCCACUGUCUCUUGCUCCUAACAGGUCGUGACCCCCAUAUUCACCUUCCUGUGGGAUUCAGUAACAUUCCGUCUAGAUUGAAUACUACUGCUGCUAUAGUUUUCAUUAAAGAUGAGAGGGGAAGCAGGCUGAUUUUUUUUUUUGAACGGUUAGCGAUCCUGUUAUGAUGUGGUUCUUCUGGUUGUGGACGAGAGAAGACAUUUUAAAGUGUGGUAGACCUAGUUAUGAAGAGGGUGUGUUUUUCUACCUGCUCUGUCCAGCUCUCUGAGGAACAAACAUUUGUUUUUGAAAAGGGGUGUGUUGAUCAGGGUUCAUUUUUGAAAUGGCUCCCUAUUCCCUAUCUAGUGCUCUACGUAGGGAAUAGGGUCCCUCAUAGGGGAUUUGGUUAAACCUAGGGGUCCUGUCUGUGUUUCUACUGAAUGUGUGUUCACAACCUUUUUGCUUUGUAAGACUGUAUUUAUUGUAAAAGAUAAAUGGAAAAUAUGUUGUGCUUGAGUGAGAUGAAUUAUUUUACCUGUCUUGAGUAAAUGGACUCCGAUUCCCUUCUCCCCCUCGUGGAAUUACACUCACUCAACAUGGCCGCCGGGUUCACCCAUAACUGUCUGAGUAAAUGGACUCCAACUCCCUUCUCCCCCUCGUGGAAUUACACUCACUCAACAUGGCCGCCGGGUUCACCCAUAACUGUGUAAAUGGACUCACACUCACUCAACAUGGCCGCCUUCUCCCCCUCGUGGAAUUAUACUCACUCAACAUGGCCGCCGGGUUCACCCAUAACUGUGUAAAUGGACUCCGAUUCCCUUCCCCCCCCUCGUGGAAUUACACUCACUCAACAUGGCCGCCGGGUUCACCCAUAACUGUGUAAAUGGACUCACACUCACUCAACAUGGCCGCCGGGUUCACCCAUAACUGUGUAAAUGGACUCCGAUUCCCUUCUCCCCCCUCGUGGAAUUACACUCACUCAACAUGGCCGCCGGGUUCACCCAUAACUGUGUAAAUGGACUCACACUCACUCAACAUGGCCGCCGGGUUCACCCAUAACUGUGUAAAUGGACUCCGAUUCCCUUCUCCCCCCCUCGUGGAAUUACACUCACUCAACAUGGCCGCCGGGUUCACCCAUAACUGUGUAAAUGGACUCACACUCACUCAACAUGGCCGCCGGGUUCACCCAUAACUGUGUAAAUGGACUCACACUCACUCAACAUGGCCGCCGGGUUCACCCAUAACUGUGUCAUUGAGUUGAAAAGGGAAUGUCUGCUUCAGUAAUCGUCUUUCUAUGGGAAUAUAUCUCCCUUCUCACAGCCUCUCUGACAUUCUAGAUGUAUCUUUCUAGCGCCGGUCAAAAAGUAGAGCACCAUUUUUGGAUGCCGGGGUGGAAGGUCCAGUCGGGUCACAGUCUGUUUCCCACAAGGCAUCAGCUGGUGUGAAAGGAUUCUCCAUUCAUCUCUGGGUUUGGUUGUUUCUGUCUGAGGUGAGGCGCUGCAGCCGUCGCCUGUCUGAUACAUUUCUAGUCCUUCUGAUUCAAAUGGGGAAUAAAUUCAUCAAUUCAACGGGUAA